Molecule: long non-coding RNA, 680 nt
Organism: Anneissia japonica
Lineage: Eukaryota; Metazoa; Echinodermata; Crinoidea; Comatulida; Comatulidae
Exons: 3
Source: RefSeq, a predicted model, not a curated record
AAUUUUUUAUUUUGUGAAAUAUAAAUAGAAGUGCUUCUUUUUAAUCCAUUGGUUUCCGUUUACGAAUUUUCAUGUCAACAAGCAUUUUUUUUAUGUUUUGUUUUUGAUGGUAGUUUUGUGAUCUAUAGGGCCUGUAAAGAAUCUCCUAGUAUAUGUUUUAAGAAAAUUGGUGGUGCUAUUGAGUAGUGCUAUUUGGUGGCGCUAUAUUUCCUGUUAGCGCGUUAGUAGCGGCAUGUUUGUGAAGAAGAGUGUACCUUCACUUCUGUUACUCAUGAUAAAUUUGCAAAUGUUGCAUAUUUGGGUCAACUUUGUAAAUUUACGAAGUAGUCAAAGUUGUUGACUUACGAAAAUUGAAGACUUGAGUGCGAGUUUGUUGCGCCAAAAUUCAUUCACCAGACUAUUUACAUCUUGCGUUGGCAGUUUUGAAUAAAGUUUCAAAGUUACUGCAUUGAAGUGUAUUGGUUUGCGUUGUUGUGUUGGUGCCCUCAUCGUUAGUAAACUCGACAAGUCAGUCAAUUUACAGGGCCUACACUAUAAAACUUGUUUUCCUUACAUUGCAACGACAACAAACGCUGUCAAAUUGUUUUAUUUAUUUUAGUUUAUUUAGUUCAUGCCUUUUAUUUUUAGGUUUUAUUAAGGGUUGACAUUCUCCCUUGUGGGAAAUUUCCUUGUAUGAUACG